AAAAAAACAGAGAAUACAGAGAAAGCUAAUCCUCUCAUUUUUCUCUUUAGAAAAUGAAUUUCUGCUGAAACAGGUAUGUGAUUGAAUGAUUAUGAUGUGGUUUUCCUUGUCUUUGAAUGAUAUGUUGUGCAGUUAUCAAUAGCUAUCAGCUGAGUUUUUGUUGCUUUUUCAUUGGGAGAGUUUGGAGAGUGAGAAGAGGACCCCAUCAUCAUCUAGCAUGGGGCUUUUUGGAUUGACAUAAGGUGGCAACCAUCAGAAGCCAUCUUCCUAGCGGAUUGGUGGUUUAUUUUAUAUCAGAUUGAAUGCUUCUUCUUGAAAGGUUCUAGUUCAUGGUUCGACAGAGGCUACAGAGCAUUUGAAAGAGUACUGCUCAAAAAAUGGUUGCCCUCAUGUAUAUGCUUCCUAGAUCGAAGAGACAAUUGACGUCAAAUCAGAUCUGUGUGCCUAUAAGAUCUCAGCAGGGAUGUCCUUAAGAUUUUUGUGGACAAGCAAUGGUUGAAUAUGCCAACUUGAAUUCUUAUAAUGCAGCUUUCUUUUGAUCUUCUAGAUAAGAUGCUCUCAAACUUCUAAGUUCUACUGGACAAAUCUCACUUCUUUUGGUGCUGGCUGGCUGUUUGUUUCAGUUUUUUUUU
This is a long non-coding RNA of Magnolia sinica, 632 nucleotides long. RefSeq lists it as uncharacterized. NCBI's taxonomy places the organism in Eukaryota, Viridiplantae, Streptophyta, Magnoliopsida, Magnoliales, Magnoliaceae. The record is from RefSeq and is a predicted model, not a curated record. The transcript is spliced from 2 exons.